GAUGAACGCUAGCGGCAGGCUUAAUACAUGCAAGUCGUGGGGCAGCAUGAGUAGCAAUACUUGAUGGCGACCGGCAAACGGGUGCGGAACACGUACACAACCUUCCGAUAAGUGGGGAAUAGCCCAGAGAAAUUUGGAUUAAUACCCCGUAACAUAUAGAGUAGGCAUCUUCUUUAUAUUAUAGCUUCGGCGCUUAUUGAUGGGUGUGCGUCUGAUUAGGUAGUUGGCGGGGUAACGGCCCACCAAGCCUACGAUCAGUAGCUGAUGUGAGAGCAUGAUAGGCCAAACGGGAACUGAGACACGGGCCCGACUCCUACGGGAGGCAGCAGUAAGGAAUAUUGGACAAUGGGCGAAAGCCUGAUCCAGCCAUGCCGCGUGAAGGAUUAAGGUCCUCUGGAUUGUAAACUUCUUUUAUUUGGGACGAAAAAAGGGAAUUCUUUCCCACUUGACGGUACCAAGUGAAUAAGCACCGGCUAACUCCGUGCCAGCAGCCGCCGUAA
Molecule: ribosomal RNA, 500 nt
Filed under: uncultured bacterium
Lineage: Bacteria
Description: partial 16S ribosomal RNA
Rfam family: Bacterial small subunit ribosomal RNA
Source: RNAcentral